GUGAAUCAUCGAAUUUUUGAACGCAAAUUGCACUCCCUGGUAUUCCAGGGAGUAUGCCUGUUUGAGGGUCGUUAGAAUACAAAAGCUAUGCGUCGCUCUGUGUUUAAGGUUGAUCGCGUCGGAAUUGACCCGUCUUUCAAAUGUUAGUACAUGUCAAAGUGGUUUGAAUUUCAUCCAUCCGGUACGAUUGAAGCGUAUUUAAGAUUAAGU
Molecule: unclassified non-coding RNA, 210 nt
Filed under: Glomeraceae sp.
Lineage: Eukaryota; Fungi; Glomeromycota; Glomeromycetes; Glomerales; Glomeraceae
Description: partial contains 5.8S ribosomal RNA and internal transcribed spacer 2
Rfam family: 5.8S ribosomal RNA (bases 1-71)
Source: RNAcentral